UACGGAGGAUGCAAGCGUUAUCCGGAAUUAUUGGGCGUAAAGCGUCCGCAGGUGGCACUUCAAGUCUGUCGUCAAAGACCGGGGCUUAACCCUGGAAAGGCGAUGGAAACUGAAAGGCUAGAGAGAGGUAGGGGUAGAGGGAAUUCCCAGUGUAGCGGUGAAAUGCGUAGAGAUUGGGAAGAACAUCGGUGGCGAAAGCGCUCUACUGGACCGCAACUGACACUCAGGGACGAAAGCUAGGGGAGCGAAUGGG
This 253-nucleotide ribosomal RNA is filed under the name uncultured bacterium. Its description in RNAcentral is "partial 16S ribosomal RNA". It matches the Rfam family "Bacterial small subunit ribosomal RNA", at positions 524 to 776 of the family's 1533-position model. The record is from RNAcentral.